UUUUUUUUUUUUUUGUGAAAUAAAAUUCUAAAACCUUGAAGGACAAACAGCUUUUUGAGAUUCCUACAUUGCCUACAAGGGACCACAUACAACAAAGCCUACUAAGGCCAUUUCUCAUCUCUUUUUUCCAUUCAAGACUGAAAAGGAAAAUGAGACCCAGAAGAGUCUGUCCUGAAAAGGAAGCUUUGAAAUUCAUCGCAUCUGGGAAAGAUAAAGACAUAUUUCAGUCAAGAGUCAAGAGAAAGAUUGUUGAUGAACAGAAAAUAGCACAUUUGUGUGCAUUUGUGACCACAAACAUCACUAAAGGAGAAGAAAUGAUGUUGGACUGCGGAGAUCCUGACAGCUCAUGGAGACAGGUAGCAGGAUGCUUGGUCCAUUACAUCCUGACGGAUGGACAACACCCUUAUAAGACCACUACACCCUCCACCCAGGAUGCACUUGGUCUGUCUCUACAUGUCAGAACGAGUAACUUCGGUCUUCAAUGGGAUGAAAGACUAAACAUAUCUUAAGCAGAAUGCUGAGCAAAUCAGUGGAAGAGCGUCCUACUAUUGAGGAAUGCCUUCAGGAAGUCAAAACUAUGUGCAAAGACUUAUUGUAGAGUUUACAAAAAGCAUUAAAAUGAUUGGAUAUAAGUAUUAGUGUGAAUUUACAGGUUUGAUCACCAGUCUUAUCAAAUAUCAACCACAAACAGCUACAGCUCAGGAAAGACUUCAGACUUCAGUCUUCUGAAGUCACUAGUGCCAUUAAAUCAAAACGGUAUGAUCCAUUCACCAUAAACAAUACACAAGAUCUAAAGAUCAUUGUCUUUUCAUGUUUUCAACUUUGUAAAGUAUGUAUUACUGACAUUAAAUUUUUUUAAUUCAUUCAUAUAUUUAUUCACUAUAUAUAUUUUUUAUCUUGUAAUUUUGUUAAAUAGCAAGAGCCAGAAAGCCCUGGUCAGAAACAGAGAGGAAAGUCAUAGAACACUGUUUCAAGAUCUACUUGGAGGAGAUGAAGGCUCCUGGAAAAGUGGACUGUGAAAGAUGCAUAAAUGCAAAGAGGAUUCUAAAGGAUAAUGGAAGAGACUGGAAAACAGUUAAAUACUUUGUGCUCAACAGAAUAAUUUCAGUUAAGAGAAGUUUGGGUGAACAGUACUGAGCCCAUAAACCCUGAGAGCGUGUGAUGUGGAGUAUCAGUGUUGAGUCCUAACUGUGCCGUGACACUGAAGGUCCAUGUACAUGCAGCAUCAGUGCGUCAUAGCAUUGAAAUUAUUGACUACAGCUGUUUUCAGCUCCUGUUUGGGACUCUGUUUUAGACCUGUUAUAACUUUGAUGUAAGCCACUGUAAUUUUGAACUAUUUUUUUUUUUUUAAAUAAACAAAUUUUAUUAUUUUCAUUUUGAUUUGUUGUUUUACUUUUCUUGGCAAUGUUGAUAAUAAAAAUGGAGCCCCUAAAUCAAGUGCUGCUCUGAAAAAUGUCAGUGUGUUAAACGACUAAAGUGCCAAUGCUUAAAAAGUAUUUUAUAUAAAAUAUAUAUUGCUUGUUGCAUUGAGAAUUUUCAGCUGGUUCUACAAAUGUGCAAAUGUUAAAAGACAUUCAGUUCAUCUAAUUUACUGGAGCCAACUGAAGAUUUUAAUGCAGUAAAUAAAAAAAUAAAAUAAAAACACUGGUCCCCUGUUAGAUGGUGAAGUGUGACGCCUGAUCGGCUGACCUUACAUUUAACAAUAUUUCACAUUCUCACCAUCUCUGAAUGCUAUGGCAAGGAUGAUAAUAUAAUGUUACAAUAUAUGUUGAUUGUAACAUUGAUUUUGAAAUUUAGCCAAGUGAAUAUUUUCAAAGUCAACAUGAAAUCUUCAAGAAAUGUCAAAGCAACCAAAGAGAUGUCGCAGUUUACCAUUUAACAGGGGACCUAAGUGUUCAGAUCAACAUUAGCACUAUUCCAUCUAUCUAUCUAUCUAUCUAUCUAUCUAUCUAUCUAUCUAUCUAUCUAUCUAUCUAUCUAUCUAUCUAUCUAUCUAUCUAUCUAUCUAUCUAUCUUUAAAAAAAUAGCCUCCAAGAUCAAACCGGUCCCCAGUUAGAUGGUGAAGCAUGACGUGAUCUGUUUGUUUGCCUUUACAUUUAACAAAUUACUUUUAUUUAUUUAUUUAUUUAUUUCUGAAUAUAAUGGCAAUGCUGAUAAUACCCUAAAAAUGGAGCCUCUGAAAAAUGUCAGUGUUAAACAGCUAAAGUAGCCUGGUUAAAAUAUAUUUUACUGAACUCAACUGAAAUUUUUCAAUGCAGCAAGCUAACAUAUAAUAUUGUUUCUUAAGUUAACAUAUAAUAUUGUUUCUUAAGUUAACAUAUAAUGUUGUUUCUUAACUUAACAUAUAAUGUAGUUUCUUAACUUAACAUAUAAUGUUGUUUCUUAAUUUAACAUAUAAUGUUAAUGUGUCUGUGAUGUAAGAAGAGAUGAUUCAGUCUAACAGGCGUCACACGUCACCAUCUAACUGGGGACCAAACUCAUUUUAUCUAACACAUGCACUCUUUACUGUCAGAAGUAUUGACAUGCAAUUGUUAUCUUAAAGAGCUCUUCAUUUUACUUUAUUUUUGCUAUCCUCAAAUUAACUAUAGUGUCUUGUUUGUUUUGUCUUAAUA
Long non-coding RNA from Carassius gibelio (silver crucian carp), 2612 nucleotides. RefSeq lists it as uncharacterized. Lineage: Eukaryota; Metazoa; Chordata; Actinopteri; Cypriniformes; Cyprinidae. The transcript is spliced from 4 exons. The record is from RefSeq and is a predicted model, not a curated record.